RNAcentral lists this ribosomal RNA (466 nucleotides) under uncultured bacterium. RNAcentral describes it as "partial 16S ribosomal RNA". It matches the Rfam family "Bacterial small subunit ribosomal RNA", at positions 28 to 507 of the family's 1533-position model. The record is from RNAcentral.
GAUGAACGCUGGCGGCGUGCUUAACACAUGCAAGUCGAACGAUGAAGCCCAGCUUGCUGGGUGUGUUAGUGGCGAACGGGUGAGUAACACGUGAGUAACCUGCCCUUGACUCUGGGAUAAGCCUGGGAGACUGGGGCUAAUACUGGAUAUGACUUCUCAUCGCAUGGGGUGGGGGGGAAAGAUUUAUUGGUCUUGGAUGGACUCGCGGCCUAUCAGCUUGUUGGUGAGGUAAUGGCUCACCAAGGCGACGACGGGUAGCCGGCCUGAGAGGGUGACCGGCCACACUGGGACUGAGACACGGCCCAGACUCCUACGGGAGGCAGCAGUGGGGAAUAUUGCACAAUGGGCGCAAGCCUGAUGCAGCGACGCCGCGUGAGGGAUGACGGCCUUCGGGUUGUAAACCUCUUUCCGUAGGGAAGAAGCGAGAGUGACGGUACCUGCAGAAGAAGCGCCGGCUAACUACGUG